This 537-nucleotide ribosomal RNA is filed under the name Broderipia eximia. RNAcentral's name for it is "Roya eximia partial 12S rRNA". The record is from RNAcentral. Lineage: Eukaryota; Metazoa; Mollusca; Gastropoda; Trochida; Trochidae.
GGUUAAAAGGUGGCUAGGAAUAGUAACUUUUUAUCGAUAGGUGGAAUGGUAUAUAAAGAGUUGUUUUGUGCAUUCCUUCUUUUUGAUGCCAUGAAAAUUAAGUUGUAAACCGGGAUUAGAUACCCCGUUAUUCUUUUUCUUAAAUGUUGAUGAUUGAAAUUUAUCAGAGUAUUACGAGUUGCUCGUACUAGGUGAGCUGUACUUAAAACUCAAAAAACUUGGCGGUGCCUCAAUUCUUUCCAGGGGAACCUGUUCUGUAAUCGAUAGUCCACGUUUAAGCUUACUUUGUUUUGUACCAUAUUAUUAUGGAUCAGUUUGUAUACCGUCGUCGUCAGAUUACCUUUAAAAGUAAAGAAGUUAUCAGGUUAAGUAAAGCUUGUUGAUAGUUCAAUAAGCUAAUUUGUGAUGUCAGAUCAAGGUGCAGCUAAUAACAAAGCAGAAAUGGGUUACAAUAAUUAUUUUUUUUGGAUUUUGAGUUGUAAAAAUUUAAAUGAAAUUGGACUUGGAAGUAAUAAGAUUGUAAGUUUAGUAGAAAGA